UAAACUGAGACAGACAGAGGCCUACUGAAC
RNAcentral lists this non-coding RNA (30 nucleotides) under Rattus norvegicus (Norway rat). Lineage: Eukaryota; Metazoa; Chordata; Mammalia; Rodentia; Muridae. The record is from RNAcentral.